Molecule: long non-coding RNA, 1286 nt
Organism: Pezoporus flaviventris
Lineage: Eukaryota; Metazoa; Chordata; Aves; Psittaciformes; Psittacidae
Exons: 2
Source: RefSeq, a predicted model, not a curated record
GCUUCCUUAAGUACUGCAGUGCCUUGAAUUGUUUAGGAAAUGGAAGUUCAAGGAAAUAGUAAUAAUGUAGUUACAGAAAAAUGAUGAACAAAACUGAUUAUAAAAUAUAGGGGCCACUCAGCUACAUUCCACAAUUUGGACUUCAGGAUAUAUUUUCAUUACAGUAACAUUACACAUUUAUGUAAACUAGACCAGUAUUUCGAACUGUAUCAAAUAACUAUUAAGUGUGUAACGAUCUUGGUUCCUGUUGCAGGAAAAGUAUGCAUACUACCAUUUCCCACACCUUCAUGUUGAGUGUGGGAUACAGUAGCUGGGUUUGGGAGCUGUGCAGAGGCUUUGAGAAUGAUUGUUUCCAAGUAGCCAAGACUUAACCUGCAAUUCUGUCAGAUCAUGAACCUUCAUAAAUUCAGAUCUAACUUUAAGUUAACUUAUUUUGUUCAUGGUUUAGUAUCUUAAUUUUGUACUGUAACAACUAGUAAAACCAAAAUUAGUUCUCUCUCUUUGAGGUUUUGCAUUUCUGGUAAUCAGUUAUUAAUCAAAAGUAGUAUCCAAGAUCCAUAAACAGCUGAACACUAGUUAAAACACAACAUAUUAAGAACUUGGAAAGAUAUUAUUAUAGAACAAUGCCAGAAAUUAAGCUAAAGAAAUCCUCUAUUGUAACUGGACUGAUACUAGUUUUAACACACAUACUACAAAAAAACCUUUUAGUCCCAUGGUCCCAAAGAAUGUCAGAGGUGACAUGAGACUGACCCAGGAAUACAGAAGUGGUUUCUUUGUGGUCUUUACUGUGCUGAAAACACUAAGCUUCCAGAAACUUUUUAAGCAUACCUGCAGAGGACUGAGAAUACAGUAAUAAUCUUGAAUAAUUUUGGGUGGAAGAUCCUGCAGUACAUCCUCCUUCAUCCUCCUUAGGAGGAAUGGCAGAACCUGGCGGUGCAGUGCUUCCAUUGCAAGAACCCCUGGAGGAGACAACGGGAGCCACAUUUUAGGGAAAAAAAAAUUGAAAUGUCCGCCUCUCACCUCCUGUUCUUACACUGGAACUGAUCACACUUUCUCUUUUCAUGUGAAACUCUCAUUUAAAGGAAGAAAACAAGAAAACAAAAAUUUAACAUUUGAUCCUUACCAGCCUCUUGUUCUCGACUGGAGCUUCGGGCAUCUCUACUUGCCAGUAUUGGUUUGCCAUAACGAGCUGCAAAUUGGCGUUCAGUACCCAAAAAUCCCGGCAUGAGGAAGUCAAACAAUGACCACAACUCUAAGACGUUGUUCUGGCAUAGGCAAAACAUUUU